AUUGAACGCUGGCGGCACGCCUAACACAUGCAAGUCGAGCGGUAACAUGGUUAGUAGCAAUACUAACUGAUGACGAGCGGCGGACGGGUGAGUAACACGUAGGAACUUGCCCAGUAGUGGGGGACAACCAAGGGAAACUUUGGCUAAUACCGCAUAAAAUCGAGAGAUCAAAGAGGCUGCAAGGUGGCGCUAUUGGAGAGGCCCGCGUCUGAUUAGCUAGUUAGUGAGGUAAUAGCUUACCAAGGCGAGGAUCAGUACUGGUUUGAGAGGACGACCAGUCACACUGGGACUGAGACACGGCCCAGACUCCUACGGGAGGCAGCAGUGGGGAAUCUUGGACAAUGGGGGCAACCCUGAUCCAGCGGUGCCGCGUGAGUGAAGAAGGCCUUCGGGUCGUAAAGCUCUUUAGGCUGGGAAGAAGGUUGGUAGUUUAAGAGACAAUCAGCUUGACUGUACCAGCAGAAUAAGCACCGGCAAACUCUGUGCCAGCCGCCGCAGUAA
RNAcentral lists this ribosomal RNA (501 nucleotides) under uncultured bacterium. RNAcentral describes it as "partial 16S ribosomal RNA". It matches the Rfam family "Bacterial small subunit ribosomal RNA", at positions 30 to 523 of the family's 1533-position model. The record is from RNAcentral.